CUCAAUGAAGCGCUUUGCCUACGUGGAUAGAAAGCGUGCCCUCAAAGAAGCGUUUUCUGUCCACGUAGGCAAAGCGCUUCCUUGAGG
Molecule: non-coding RNA, 87 nt
Organism: Gossypium hirsutum (cotton)
Lineage: Eukaryota; Viridiplantae; Streptophyta; Magnoliopsida; Malvales; Malvaceae
Source: Rfam